Molecule: ribosomal RNA, 446 nt
Filed under: uncultured archaeon
Lineage: Archaea
Description: partial 16S ribosomal RNA
Rfam family: Archaeal small subunit ribosomal RNA
Source: RNAcentral
GCGCAGCAGUCGCGAAAACUCUGCAAUACGCGAAAGCGUGACAGGGCUACCCCGAGUGUCGUCCGCUGAGGACGACUUUUCCACGCUGUAAGGAGGCGUGGGAAUAAGGAGAGGGCAAGUCUGGUGUCAGCCGCCGCGGUAAUACCAGCUCUCCGAGUGGUAGGGACGUUUAUUGGGCUUAAAGCGUCCGUAGCCGGCUCAACAAGUCUCCCGUUAAAUCCAACGAUUCAAUCGUUGGACUGCGGGAGAUACUGCUGGGCUAGGAGGCGAGAGAGGCCGACGGUAUGCCCGGAGUAGGGGGAAAUCUGAUAAUUCCGGGAGGACCACCAGUGGCGAAGGCUGUCGGCUAGAACGCGCCCGACGGUGAGGGACGAAAGCUGGGGGAGCGAACGGGAUUAGAUAUGAAGUUGAGUUGUUGCCAGCUUCACUAGAUACCCCGGUAGUCC